GUUGACCUCGGAUCAGGUAGGA
This 22-nucleotide ribosomal RNA is filed under the name Neonectria ditissima. RNAcentral describes it as "partial 28S ribosomal RNA". The record is from RNAcentral. Lineage: Eukaryota; Fungi; Ascomycota; Sordariomycetes; Hypocreales; Nectriaceae. RNAcentral also lists the same sequence under 11 other names.